This 253-nucleotide ribosomal RNA is filed under the name uncultured bacterium. Its description in RNAcentral is "partial 16S ribosomal RNA". It matches the Rfam family "Archaeal small subunit ribosomal RNA", at positions 474 to 727 of the family's 1478-position model. The record is from RNAcentral.
UACCCGCAGCACAAGUGGUGGUCAUUAUUAUUGGGCCUAAAGCGUCCGUAGCUGGCCUGUUAGAUGCCUGGGUAAAUCGAUGCGCUCAACGCAUCGAACUCCGGGUAGACCGGCAGGCUUGGGACCGGGAGAGAUGUGAGCUACUCGAGGGGUAGGGGUAAAAUCCUGUAAUCCUUCGGGGAGGACCAGUGGCGAAGGCGGUGAUCUGGGCCGAUACUGACGCUGUAGAGCGAAAGCGUGGGGAGCGAACAGG